This 463-nucleotide ribosomal RNA is filed under the name uncultured bacterium. Its description in RNAcentral is "bacterial SSU rRNA". It matches the Rfam family "Bacterial small subunit ribosomal RNA", at positions 330 to 794 of the family's 1533-position model. The record is from RNAcentral.
CCCAGACUCCUACGGGAGGCAGCAGUGGGGAAUAUUGCACAAUGGGGGGAACCCUGAUGCAGCGACGCCGCGUGGGUGAAGGAGCACCUCGGUGCGUAAAGCCCUAUCGGCAGGGAAGAAAAGCGAACAGGUUCGCCUGGACGGUACCUGACUAAGAAGCCCCGGCUAACUACGUGCCAGCAGCCGCGGGAAUACGUAGGGAGCAAGCGUUAUCCGGAAUUAUUGGGCGUAAAGGGUGCGUAGACGGCAGUGCAAGUCUGGAGUGAAAGCCCGGGGCCCAACCCCGGAACUGCUCUGGAAACUGUGCGGCUAGAGUACUGGAGGGGCAGGCGGAAUUCCUAGUGUAGCGGUGAAAUGCGUAGAUAUUAGGAGGAACACCAGUGGCGAAGGCGGCCUGCUGGACAGUAACUGACGUUGAGGCUCGAAAGCGUGGGGAGCAAACAGGAUUAGAUACCCUAGUAAU